RNAcentral lists this non-coding RNA (1497 nucleotides) under Pan troglodytes (chimpanzee). Lineage: Eukaryota; Metazoa; Chordata; Mammalia; Primates; Hominidae. The record is from RNAcentral.
CCUUUACCACAGACAGAGGGAACUUCAAGACAAAAGUGAAUUUUCAGUUGUCAACAAGCUAAAUUUUAAGGACAAUGACGAAUUUGACUCACCUUUUAAAGAUUUAGAAAACCUCAUUUUUUAGUGAAAGAGUGGAGAUAAAAGAAUAUUAAGAGUCCAGAAUCUGGUGUCCUGGCUAUGGCCCUGCUUUAGACUGUUUCUCUUUGUCAUCACUUUAUGCAGGAAACGUGCCCAGGUGUCUUGAAAUGGAUGAGUUCUCUUCUGGAGGUAUGCCUCAUGUGGAUGCAUAUCUGGAGGUAUGUCUCAUGUGGGCACUGCUGCAGCUGCUGUGCCAAUCUCAUAUCAGCACCCAAGAUUUUCUCAUGAAGGACCAGAUGACUCUUGAAAACCAGGUUUGCUCUCCAGCUUCUAUUGCAAUAUAAUGAGAAGAUACAUAACAUUUACCCCUUUGUAAAUGUUUCUCUGUCAUCAGACAAAACUCUCGAUAGAAAUCACUGUGUAAUCCAGUGUAUUUGUUUUUUCCUAAUUGUAUUUGAUACUAUAGUGUAUGAACCAAGAAUAAUCAAGUCAAGUGAAACCCCUUUUCCAGUCAUAAAAUGUCUCAUUCAUUACACUAAAAGGAGCUGUUCUUUUUAAAAAACAUUCUUAUUUUGGUCUCAAAUUUUUAAAUGUGUUUAACCUAUCUUAUUUGUCAAAUCUAGGCCUAUAUUUGGGAAGGGUAAGCUGUGUUCUUUCCUCUGAAGAGCUGGGCUGCCUUCUGUAAAACAAGAGGCCAUUUUUCCCAGCGCAUUUCUGUUUUCUACCUGAACAUUAAAAUACAGAUUUUUCUAGGCAUUAGAAAUAGUACAAUAUUGCCUCUGGUCUUUGCAUUUGAUGCCUGUGGCUUUAGUAAUUGUGUCCCUCCAGAAUUUAUAUGUUGGAAUUUAAACACCCCAGAAUGGUAGAAGUAAAAAUUCAAGAUUUUGGGAGGCAAAUAAGAGAGCAAUUAGCGACCUUAUAAAAGAACUCAAUGGAACUAACAAAGCUUUUUAGCCCUUCCACCAUUAGAGGAGACACUGUAUUUGUCCUCUCUAGAGAACGCAGCAACAAAGGGCCAUCUUGGAAGCAGAGACCAGGCCUUCACCAGACAUGGAGACCAUCAAUGCCUUGAUCUUGGACUUCUCAGUCUCUAAAACUGUAAGAAAUUUAUUUCUGGUUUUAUAAGUUACCCAGUCCAAUGUAUUGUGUUAUAGCAGCAGGAAUGUACUGAGAUAGCAUCUUUAUUGUGGAACCAUUGGUCCUCAUACUUAAUGAAUGGGCUUCAAGUGUUUCAUUAAUUUUAAAACACAUGGCUCCUUCUUUACAAUUGAUUUCAUUUUUAUUUUCUAAAAAUCAACGUUUACAAUGCAGAACUGGAAAAAAAAAUCUCUACUGAAACCUGUAGAUUGUCCUAGGUUUUUUGGCAGAAUCACUGUGGAUAAUUUAGAGGCUGCCUGUGAUCACAUCUAUGUAUUAUUU